AAGCGCUUAUGACCAGACUUGGGCCCGGUGGAUCAUCCAGCGUUCUCGCUGGUGCACUCCGCCGGGUUCAGGCCAGCAUCAGUUCGCCGCGGGGGAAAAAGGCUUCGGGAACGUGGCUCCUACGGGAGUGUUAUAGCCCGUUGCAUAAUACCCUGGGGCGGACUGAGGUUCGCGCUCCGCAAGGAUGCUGGCGUAAUGGUCAUCAGCGA
This 209-nucleotide ribosomal RNA is filed under the name Purpureocillium lilacinum. RNAcentral's name for it is "partial large subunit ribosomal RNA". The record is from RNAcentral. Lineage: Eukaryota; Fungi; Ascomycota; Sordariomycetes; Hypocreales; Ophiocordycipitaceae.